Long non-coding RNA from Rhincodon typus (whale shark), 734 nucleotides. RefSeq lists it as uncharacterized. The transcript has 3 exons. Lineage: Eukaryota; Metazoa; Chordata; Chondrichthyes; Orectolobiformes; Rhincodontidae. The record is from RefSeq and is a predicted model, not a curated record.
CACAGAUGCUGCCAGAUCUGCUGAGCUUUUCCAGCAACUUCUGUCUUUGUUCAUGGAAAAGGACUGUUUGGACUUAUGCCUUACAGAUGAUGGACAGGCUUUGGAGAGUCAGGAGAUAAAUAGAACAACAACUUCCAGCUAUUCACCAACACAGAGAUAACCAAGGGAGAAGUGAAAUACCUUAUUUAUUCAUCUGAUGAUGAGUUGAUCUAAUCCCAAAAGGCAUCUGAUAGACAACUUUGACACCUGAUCUCUGGGGACCUGGUGGAGUCACUCACAGUCCUUAAGAGACUUCCCUUACUUUAUCAUUCUACAAAGAAUUGUUGCAGGUGAAUGUAUCGCAGUUUUUCAGGAACUGAACUCUACCCCUUAUCCAUCGUAUUUGCACUGCGGGUUCCAUCCUGAAUUGUAAUGGAAUAAAGUGACUUAAUGCUGUCUUACAAGUGGGCAGCAAGCAGCCUGCAAUUCAUUUUUAAUUUUGAGCCUGUUCUUGCAUAUUAAUUGCCAUUGUUUUAAGCUCAUUAUCCCAUCUUGCACAUUGCCGUGAGUGGGAUGCCAAUGCAUGUAAACUGUGGCAUUACUUCUGCAUUUAGUGACCUAAGUGGUUGUUAAUGUAGUCUGUGUCAUUGUGUGACAACAACCCCUCUGUGCUGUAGCUCAUUCUUUUUUUAAGAAGAUUUACUUCUACACCAUACUAACUAAAAGAUAUAUAAACUGCAAUUCUUAAGUUGAAA